GCCAGGUGUGGUGGUGCACUCCUGUAGUCCCAGCUACUCCGGAGGCUGAGGCAAGAGAAUUGCUUGAACCCAGGAGGCAGAGGGUGCAGUGAGCCGAGAUUGUGCCACUGCACUCCAGCCUGGGUGACAGAGUAAGACUCUGUCUCAA
This is an unclassified non-coding RNA of Macaca mulatta (Rhesus monkey), 148 nucleotides long. It matches the Rfam family "Metazoan signal recognition particle RNA". From Rfam's summary of the family: The signal recognition particle (SRP) is a universally conserved ribonucleoprotein. It is involved in the co-translational targeting of proteins to membranes. The record is from Ensembl. Lineage: Eukaryota; Metazoa; Chordata; Mammalia; Primates; Cercopithecidae.